Molecule: ribosomal RNA, 466 nt
Filed under: uncultured bacterium
Lineage: Bacteria
Description: partial 16S ribosomal RNA
Rfam family: Bacterial small subunit ribosomal RNA
Source: RNAcentral
GACGAACGCUGGCGGCGCGCCUAACACAUGCAAGUCGAACGAGCGAGAGGAGGUUUCCUUUCUCAAGCGAGUGGCGAACGGGUGCGUAACGCGUGAGGAACCUGCCUCAAAGAGGGGGACAACAGUUGGAAACGACUGCUAAUACCGCAUAAGCCCACGACCCGGCAUCGGGUCGAGGGAAAAGCGGCAAUCCGCUUUGAGAUGGCCUCGCUUCCGAUUAGCUAGGUGGUGAGGUAAUGGGCCACCAAGGCGACGGUCGGUAGCCGGACUGAGAGGUUGAACGGCCACAUUGGGACUGGGACACGGCCCAGACUACUACGGGAGGCAGCAGUGGGGAAUAUUGCAAAAUGGGGGAAACCCUGAUGCAGCGACGCCGCGUGGAGGAAGAAGGUCUUCGGAUUGUAAACUCCUGUUGUUGAGGAAGAUAAUGACGGUAUUCAACAAGGAAGUGACGGCUAACUACGUG